UUCGUUGAUGAAUGGCACUGGGCGCCGACAGUCACAAAUGUGGCUGGUCAUGACGGAUAUGCCCUGUUGUGGCAGGCCUAGAAAACCUCGCCCACUGAUC
This is a small nucleolar RNA of Exophiala dermatitidis, 100 nucleotides long. It matches the Rfam family "A. fumigatus snoRNA Afu_513". NCBI's taxonomy places the organism in Eukaryota, Fungi, Ascomycota, Eurotiomycetes, Chaetothyriales, Herpotrichiellaceae. The record is from Rfam.